AAGUCGAACGAAGUGGUAACACUUAGUGGCGGACGGGUGAGUAACGCGUAGGAACCUGCCUAUGGGUGGGGGAUAACUUUGGGAAACUAAAGCUAAUACCCCAUAAGUCGGAGACGAGAAAGGCGAAAGCCGCCGAUAGAUGGGCCUGCGUAAGAUUAGGUAGUUGGUGGGGUAAUGGCCUACCAAGCCUGUGAUCUUUAGCUGGUUUGAGAGGAUGAUCAGCCACACUGGGACUGAGACACGGCCCAGACUCCUACGGGAGGCAGCAGUGGGGAAUAUUGGACAAUGGGGGAAACCCUGAUCCAGCGAUGCCGCGUGAGUGAAGAAGGCCUUCGGGUUGUAAAGCUCUUUUGGUAGGGAAGAUAAUGACGGUACCUACAGAAUAAGCUCCGGCUAACUUCGUGCCAGCAGCCGCGGUAAUACGAGGGGAGCUAGCGUUGUUCGGAAUUACUGGGCGUAAAGCGCGCGUAGGCGGUUUUUUAAGUGAGGUGUGAAAGCCCAUGGCUUAACCAUGGAACUGCAUUUCAUACUGGAAGACUAGAGGGCGAGAGAGGACAGUGGAAUUCUCAGUGUAGAGGUGAAAUUCGUAGAUAUUGAGAGGAACACCAGUGGCGAAAGCGACUGUCUGGAUCGCAUCUGACGCUAAGGCGCGAAAGCGUGGGGA
This 664-nucleotide ribosomal RNA is filed under the name uncultured bacterium. RNAcentral's name for it is "bacterial SSU rRNA". It matches the Rfam family "Bacterial small subunit ribosomal RNA", at positions 59 to 767 of the family's 1533-position model. The record is from RNAcentral.